RNAcentral lists this long non-coding RNA (1224 nucleotides) under Lepidothrix coronata (blue-crowned manakin). RNAcentral describes it as "lncRNA (ENSLCOG00000000521.1)". The record is from RNAcentral. Lineage: Eukaryota; Metazoa; Chordata; Aves; Passeriformes; Pipridae.
CCCGCGGCAGCGCGUGCAGGGAAACCCCGUCGUGAGGGUGCAGGAAACAUUUAUCAGUGUCUGCAGAGAGAGGGCAGAGGAUAGACCAGGUUCUGCUCGGGGUGGGGGGCCUGGCGAUGGCACAAGAGGAACGGGCAGGAACUGAUGCCCAGGAAGUCCCACCUGGACACGAGAAGAACUUCUUUGCUGUGCAGUGAACCCAGCACUGAACAGGCUGCCCUGGGAGGGUGUGGAGUCUUCUCAGUGGGGAUAUUCCAGAACCUUCUGGACACAAUGCCAUGUGCUCUGGCAUGGCCCUGCUGGAGCAGGGAGGUGGGACCAGAUGGCCCUCUUUGGUCGCUUCCAGCCUGACCCACUCUGUGGUUCCAUGAGAUGUCCAGGGUACCGUGUUGUGCUCUCACAGCACUUGCUCCACACUCUGGUGCUGAGCCCUCUGUGGCAAAGUGGCCUUUAAGUAGGGAAGCUCUCUACAGCUUUCCAAAGGAGAGAAUUCCAUCCUCGGGGGAUUUUGCCGUUGAAUUCGAAGUCUGGGAAAGUCAAAGCAGCAUAAACACCGCACGGCCCAAGAAGAGGCAGCCGGCUGGCACAGAUAUGCCAAAUGCCGGGACGGCACCUCCCGCUGUGCCCCACAUAUCGUACAAAGAACCUCCCCGGCGCUCCAGAUGCCUCCCGUUAUCUGCCCUGCAAGAGCAGCUGCUGCGGCGCCGAUAGCCCGAGCGCUGCCUGCGAAGCAGCCUUAAUGGCACAAAAAACCCGUCCCUGGCUAAAGCUGCGAGGCAGAGAACAUGAUUGUUCCGAAAAGGGCCGGCCCGAUUUCAAUUGUUCCGCGCGCAGGUAACGACUGUAACGCAAAAUAAUCCUCAGUCCGAGCAUCGCCCCCCUGAGCGCAGAGAGUCGCGCCGUGUGUCGGCCACGGGGACGCCGCAACUGAGGUAAAAACCGCUGCGAACGCAGCCGAGGGAGGGGGAAGCUUAACACUAAAGCAAAUACCUGAAAAGACUGGAGCAACUGAGCUUGGUUUAACGCUUAAUCAGAUCCAGAAGAGCUCUGACCUACAUACUCGCAGCAUCCCCGGGCUGGGGCUCAGCCGGCUGAGCGGGGGAAGGGGUUUGAACGCGCCGAGCGGGGGGAGCAGCUCCCGGACGCAGCCCUGCCCCGGCUCCACAGCCCCGGAUUCCCUUCCUGGCUGCUUCUCUCAGGCAAAAAUCACAGCCCCGGAUUCCC